UGCAAAAACAUGCAAGUCGAGCGGACCGACGGGAGCUUGCUCCCUUAGGUCAGCGGCGGACGGGUGAGUAACACGUGGGUAACCUGCCUGUAAGACUGGGAUAACUCCGGGAAACCGGGGCUAAUACCGGAUGCUUGAUUGAACCGCAUGGUUCAAUCAUAAAAGGUGGCUUUUAGCUACCACUUACAGAUGGACCCGCGGCGCAAUAGCUAGUUGGUGAGGUAACGGCUCACCAAGGCGACGAUGCGUAGCCGACCUGAGAGGGUGAUCGGCCACACUGGGACUGASACRCGGCCCAGAYUCCUACGGGAGGCAGCAGUAGGGAAUCUUCCGCAAUGGACGAAAGUCUGACGGAGCAACGCCGCGUGAGUGAUGAAGGUUUUCGGAUCGUAAAACUCUGUUGUUAGGGAAGAACAAGUACCGUUCGAAUAGGGCGGCACCUUGACGGUACCUAACCAGAAAGCCACGGCUAACUACGUGCCAGCAGCCGCGGUAAUACGUAGGUGGCAAGCGUUGUCCGGAAUUAUUGGGCGUAAAGCGCGCGCAGGCGGUUUCUUAAGUCUGAUGUGAAAGCCCCCGGCUCAACCGGGGAGGGUCAUUGGAAACUGGGGAACUUGAGUGCAGAAGARGARAGUGGAAUUCCACGUGUAGCGGUGAAAUGCGUARAGAUGUGGAGGAACACCAGUGGCGAARGCGACUCUCUGGUCUGUAACUGACGCUGARGCGCGAAAGCGUGGGGAGCGAACAGGAUUAGAUACCCUGGUAGUCCACGCCGUAAACGAUGAGUGCUAAGUGUUAGAGGGUUUCCGCCCUUUAGUGCUGCAGCAAACGCAUUAAGCACUCCGCCUGGGGAGUACGGUCGCAAGACUGAAACUCAAAGGAAUUGACGGGGGCCCGCACAAGCGGUGGAGCAUGUGGUUUAAUUCGAAGCAACGCGAAGAACCUUACCAGGUCUUGACAUCCUCUGACAACCCUAGARAUAGGGCUUCCCCUUCGGGGGCAGARUGACAGGUGGUGCAUGGUUGUCGUCAGCUCGUGUCGUGAGAWGUUGGGUUAAGUCCCGCAACGAGCGCAACCCUUGAUCUUAGUUGCCAGCAUUCAGUUGGGCACUCUAAGGUGACUGCCGGUGACAAACCGGAGGAAGGUGGGGAUGACGUCAAAUCAUCAUGCCCCUUAUGACCUGGGCUACACACGUGCUACAAUGGGCAGAACAAAGGGCAGCGAAGCCGCGAGGCUAAGCCAAUCCCACAAAUCUGUUCUCAGUUCGGAUCGCAGUCUGCAACUCGACUGCGUGAAGCUGGAAUCGCUAGUAAUCGCGGAUCAGCAUGCCGCGGUGAAUACGUUCCCGGGCCUUGUACACACCGCCCGUCACACCACGAGAGUUUGUAACACCCGAAGUCGGUGAGGUAACCUUUGGAGCCAGCCGCCGA
RNAcentral lists this ribosomal RNA (1430 nucleotides) under Bacillus licheniformis. Its description in RNAcentral is "bacterial SSU rRNA". The record is from RNAcentral. Lineage: Bacteria; Bacillati; Bacillota; Bacilli; Caryophanales; Bacillaceae.